This 534-nucleotide ribosomal RNA is filed under the name Crocidura nimbae. Its description in RNAcentral is "partial 16S ribosomal RNA". It matches the Rfam family "Bacterial large subunit ribosomal RNA", at positions 1816 to 2586 of the family's 2925-position model. The record is from RNAcentral. Lineage: Eukaryota; Metazoa; Chordata; Mammalia; Eulipotyphla; Soricidae.
CACCUCUAGCAUUAUCAGUAUUAGAGGCAAUGCCUGCCCAGUGACAUUAGUUAAACGGCCGCGGUAUCCUGACCGUGCAAAGGUAGCAUAAUCAUUUGUUCCUUAAUUAGGGACUUGUAUGAAUGGCCCCACGAGGGUUUGACUGUCUCUUACUUUUAAUCAGUGAAAUUGACCUUCCCGUGAAGAGGCGGGAAUACAUAAAUAAGACGAGAAGACCCUAUGGAGCUUAAAUUAAUUUGUUCAAUCAAAAUUCAAUUUUUAUCCAACAGGAAUAAUAACAUUUUAACUGAACAACAAAUUUUGGUUGGGGUGACCUCGGAGUACAAAAGAACCUCCGAGCGAUUUAACUAAGACAUACUAGUCAAGGCCAUAUAACUCAUUGAUCCAAUCAUAUUGAUCAACGGAACAAGUUACCCUAGGGAUAACAGCGCAAUCCUAUUUGAGAGUUCAUAUCGACAAUAGGGUUUACGACCUCGAUGUUGGAUCAGGACACCCAAAUGGUGCAGCAGCUAUUAAAGGUUCGUUUGUUCAACG